CCUACGGGCGGCAGCAGUGAGGAAUCUUUGUCAAUGGGCGCGAGCCUGAACCUGCCAAGUAGCGUGAAGGAUGAAUGCCCUACGGGUUGUAAACUUCUUUUAUAAAGGAAUAAAGUGAAGCACGUGUGCCUUUUUGUAUGUAUUUUACGAAUAAGGUUCGGCUAACUCCGUGCCAGCAGCCGCGGUAAUACGGAGGAGCCGAGCGUUGUCCGGAUUUAUUGGGUUUAAAGGGAGCGUAGAUGGGUUGUUAAGCCAGUUGUGAAAGGUUGCGGCUCAACCGUAAAAUUGCAAUUGAUACUGGCAGCCUUGAGUAAAGUUGAGGUAGGCGGAAUUCGUGGUGUAGCAGUGAAAUGCUUAGAUAUCAAGAAGAACUCCGGUUGCGAAGGCGGCCUACUAAACUGCAACUGACAUUGAUGCUCGAAGGUGUGGGUAUCGAACGGGAUUAGAUACCCCUGUAGUC
RNAcentral lists this ribosomal RNA (460 nucleotides) under uncultured bacterium. RNAcentral describes it as "partial 16S ribosomal RNA". It matches the Rfam family "Bacterial small subunit ribosomal RNA", at positions 338 to 795 of the family's 1533-position model. The record is from RNAcentral.